This is a non-coding RNA of Parasteatoda tepidariorum (common house spider), 1171 nucleotides long. The record is from RefSeq and is a predicted model, not a curated record. NCBI's taxonomy places the organism in Eukaryota, Metazoa, Arthropoda, Arachnida, Araneae, Theridiidae.
CUCAUUUUUAAGUAACAACUCAACUCAGAAGAGCAGGAAAGAAGAAAAGUUCAGUCAGAGCGUUUUGUUUUUAUUUAUUGCAUUUUUUAAUUAUCGUAUGUAUUAAAAUCAGUCCAGCUAAUAUGGCAGAGGUGGGGAGACGGUCCGAAUCUUAUUCCCCAAAAUCGAGCCCUAGAGGGUCUCGUUCCCCUGUGGUUCCACGGCAAGAUUCAACUGGAACAUUAAAAACAACCAUAUCUUUGGGAAAGGGUAAAACUCCAGCGAUCUGGCAUAGCGGGCCUUUCUAUCUCAUGAAAGAACCACCUAAGAGUGAAUUGACUGGAGCAACAAACUUGAUGACCUACUAUAAUCUGGAACAUUCCUAUAACAAAUUUUGCGGUAGAAAAAUGAAGGAUCAGCUGAGUGCUUUCUUACCUAAUUUACCUGGAAGCAUAGAUGCCCCUGGAAGUCAAGACAAUAGUUCUUUAAAAUCUCUGAUUGAUAAACCUCCAAUUGGUGGAAAAGAUCUUCAACCCCUUACCGGAUCUCAGUUGUCAGGCUUCAGAUUGCAUCCUGGUCCAGUUCCUGAACAAUACAGAUUAAUGAGCCAAAUGCCUCAAAAGAAAAAACACAAGAAAAAGCACAAACAUAAAGAUGGUGAUACUCCUACACAAGAUUCUCAACAAGAUGCUAGUUUAGAGGGUGCUCAUGAAAAGAAACACAAGAAACAAAAAAGGCAUGAUGAUGAGAAAGAAAAGAAAAAGAAGAAGAAAGAAAAAAAGAAAAAGAAGGUAGGACUAUCUUAGGUGCCCAUGUGAAGGUUCUCAGUUCUUAAGGGAGCCAUGAUUCUAACAACAAAUAUAUGUUUUCCAGAAACAUGGCCCAGAUGUGCUGACUGGUGCUCCCAUCGUUGCUCCACCUGGAAUCCUGCCUCAUCCUGUUGUUAUUCCAAAGCCUAUUUGAGAAACAACAGUCAUUGUUUUCGAUGACAUAAUUUGAGAGAACUCCAAAGUUUUUUGCGUGUUUACAUUGUACAGUGAAGCAUUUUAUAAAUAUAUUUAUCAGUAUUUGGACUUUACGGAUAUAUGUAUAAAGAAGUCAUAAUUCAUUUAAUAUAAUAUGUGCAUGUGGAUGUCAGAUUCACAUUUUUGUUACUUUCAUACUUUAUAAAUAUACUCAUUGCCUGACUGUG